Oncorhynchus masou masou (cherry salmon) is the source of this 1267-nucleotide long non-coding RNA. RefSeq lists it as uncharacterized. Lineage: Eukaryota; Metazoa; Chordata; Actinopteri; Salmoniformes; Salmonidae. The record is from RefSeq and is a predicted model, not a curated record. The transcript has 3 exons.
UGUCUGGUCCAUACUAUAACAGGGGAUCUGCUGAGGGCCCUGGAGGGCCCAGAGUUGUGCCUGAGGCCCCGCCUCAUCUCUGUGUCCAGCGAGGGCCACUGUAUCAUCUGUUAUGAGAGAGGACGCUUCUGUAACUUCAGCAUCAACGGGAAACUACUGGCUCAGAUGGAGGUCAACGACUCCACACGGGCGAUCCUGUUGAGUAGUGACGGUCAGGAGCCUGGUGACAGGAGGAGACAACGGGGUGGUGGAGGUGGCAGGCCUGUGACUUCAAACAGCUCUACAUCUACCCAGGCUGUGACGCUGGCAUCCGCGCCAUGGACCUGUCUCACGACCAGAGAACUCUGAUCACUGGCAUGGCGUCUGGCAGCAUCGUAGCUUUCAAUAUCGACUUCAACCGCUGGCACUACGAACACCAGAACAGGUACUGACGAGAGGAGGAUGAAGAGGAGGAUGAAGAGGAGGAUGAAGAGGAGGAUGAAGAGGAGGAGAGGAUGGAGAGGAGGAUGGAGAGGAGGAUGAAGAGGAGGAUGAAGAGGAGGAGAGGAUGGAGAGGAGGAUGGAGAGGAGGAUGAAGAGCAGGAUGACGAGGAGGAUGAAGAGGAGGAGAGGAUGGAGAGGAGGAUGAAGAGGAGGAUAGGAGUAGGAUUAAGAGGAGGAUAGGAGGAGGAUGAAGAGGAGGAUGGAGAAGAGGAUGAAGAGGAGAAUAGGAGGAGGAGGAUGAAGAGGAGGAUAGGAGGAGGAGAAGGAGGAGAGGAUGAAGAGGAGGAUAGGAGGAUGAAGAGGAGGAGAGGGGUAUGAAGAGGAGGAUGAUGAGGAGAAUGAAGAUGAUGAUGAAGAGGGGGAGGAGAGGAGGAAGAGGAGGAUAGGAGGAUGAAGAGGAGGAUAGGAGGAUGAAGAGGAGGAUGACAAGGAGGAGAGGGGUAUGAAGAGGAGGAUGAUGAGGAGAAUGAAAAUGAUGAUGAAGAGGGGGAGGAGAGGAUGAAAAAAGAUAGAGGGAAGGAGCAGGUCUUAAAUAGAAGAAAUGGGAAGAGAGGAGGCGAGUUCAGAGGUCACGCGGUACGACCAUGAAGCAACAAGAAGAAAGAGAGGAUGAAAAGGAACGGAAAACCCUUCGAACUUCCUGUGAUGAUGUCACUUGAAAAGGAAGAGAGCCCAGCUACUGUAAGACAUCUUCCAUUUGUGUGCACGUGCACGCUCACGUGCGCUUGCCAUUUCAACCCUUUUACUGCGGCCACGCGACACCCUGAAGGAUCCCUAAUAACGA